RNAcentral lists this ribosomal RNA (393 nucleotides) under bacterium enrichment culture. RNAcentral's name for it is "bacterial SSU rRNA". It matches the Rfam family "Bacterial small subunit ribosomal RNA", at positions 521 to 916 of the family's 1533-position model. The record is from RNAcentral.
UAAUACGGAGGAUCCAAGCGUUAUCCGGAUUCAUUGGGUUUAAAGGGUGCGUAGGCGGAUUUGUAAGUCAGCGGUGAAAUCCUACAGCUUAACUGUAGAACUGCCGUUGAUACUGCAAGUCUUGAGUACAUUUGAUGUGGGCGGAAUGUGUCAUGUAGCGGUGAAAUGCUUAGAUAUGACACGGAACACCAAUUGCGAAGGCAGCUCACAAAACUGUAACUGACGCUGAGGCACGACAGCGUGGGGAUCAAACAGGAUUAGAUACCCUGGUAGUCCACGCCGUAAACUAUGAUCACUCGAUGUUGGCGAUAUACAGCCAGCGUCUAAGCUAAAGCAUUAAGUGAUCCACCUGGGGAGUACGGUCGCAAGAUUGAAACUCAAAUGAAUUGACGG